This 253-nucleotide ribosomal RNA is filed under the name uncultured bacterium. Its description in RNAcentral is "partial 16S ribosomal RNA". It matches the Rfam family "Bacterial small subunit ribosomal RNA", at positions 524 to 776 of the family's 1533-position model. The record is from RNAcentral.
UACGUAGGUGGCAAGCGUUGUCCGGAUUUACUGGGCGUAAAGGGCGUGCAGGCGGUUUGUUAAGUGCAGGGUGAAAGCUCCCGGCUCAACUGGGAGAGGUCCUUGCAUACUGGCAAACUCGAGGGAGGCAGAGGAAAGUGGAAUUCCUGGUGUAGCGGUGAAAUGCGCAGAUAUCAGGAGGAACACCUAUGGCGAAGGCAGCUCGCUGGGACGGUACUGACGCUGAGACGCGAAAGCGUGGGGAGCGAACAGG